This 326-nucleotide long non-coding RNA is filed under the name Sorghum bicolor (sorghum). Its description in RNAcentral is "long non-coding RNA (SBIC_LNC013309)". The record is from RNAcentral. Lineage: Eukaryota; Viridiplantae; Streptophyta; Magnoliopsida; Poales; Poaceae.
CUACCAAGGAAGCACCAGUCAUCCAUCACAUUGUCCUUGUGUUGCAGCUCUAGUGGUGUUGUAUUGUCAGCUGUGAUCAUGUAAGAACCUGACCUGGUACGUUAUGUAUAUAAGAAGAAUAAGAACCUGUUAACUUCUGUGGUAUAUAAGUUCAUAGCAGAAUGUUCUUGUUGGUUGGAUUGGAUGGAUCCUUUGCACGGUUGAGCAGUGUUGUAAUGUGAUGGUCGGAUGGACUCACGACUGCGUUGGUCGCAUUUGUAAUGGUGAAGACAGAUGUGAAUGUACUUACUGAUCAUGAGCGUUUUUUACAUGCUCAGGUGUUCUUG